GAUUUAGUGACUUUCAAGUCAAGCAAAUUAGUUGAUGAACAGGGAUCAUACGAGAAUAUCGUUCUUAAUAGAAAAGGCAGAGAUGAAUAAAAACCCUUAAGAUCAAAACACCGAAAGGAUUAAGCCAAUUGAGUUCCAAUCAGCAUACUUUUCAGUAGGCCAAAGAGGGUAUCUGCAGCAAUGCUCAAUGAGUUCUUUUCCAAAAUUGGUACCUAAGUGAUGAUGUGAUUGAUACUAUCAUAAUAUAGGGGGAAACACUGAUGGCCCUUCUCCCCCUCACUAUUUGCAGCACUUCCUUCGGGACAGUUGGUGGUCUUGUUAGAGACAGAAGAGCCCAGCCAGCAUAUCCAGGGCUAGGUAUUUCCGACCUAUAAUGGUGCAUCUGGGAGAGACUGGAGAUGAAUGGGCUGAGAGUUCUGACCGUCAAAUGAUGAAGCUCACGUGAGUGCCACUGUGAAUACAGUUAUUUCUGGGAGUAAACCUUCUUUUCCCCUUGUCUCCUUGGACUUUGGUAGAAUGUCUUCUCAUGAACGUCUCGGUGGGUUCUGUCCUUGCUUAACAAAUCCGGCUCCUAGGUCGUCUGUGUAGUACAUGCUCUCAGAAUCUCCAAUGUGCCAGACCCAGGCAGCUGUUCCUGUUUGAUUGUCGACUCAACUAUGAACUGUUCCUCCUGACAUUUGCUUGUGAAGAUAGCUUUGGCAGACUUGUGAAGAAGCAGACAAGGCGAUUUUGUGUCGGUGAAAAUGCAUCAACAUUUUAAUUGUUUUAGUUCCUUUUCUGUCCAGAGAGCUCUUGAAACUUUGCCCAUUCUGCCUGGAAAUCCUGGACAUUGAUUCUGCCUUGGGGGUUCGUGGUGCUCAGUGACUAUUAAAGAGAAGUCCAGGAGAUGGCCACUGGAGUGAUGAAACCAGCAUCUUAUGGAAAGGUCUCAGCCAAAACCCUGGAAGGGUAGAGGAAAAAAUUGUUUUUCCUUCUUCCUAAUAUAUUUUUCAUUCAUCGCAUUGGAAAUUCAAAAGUCCACCAUCUCGCUCUCUCUUUUUGGUUUGCACCAGGUGUGUGUCACUUCACGUACAGCAUUUAUGACUCAGAAACAGCUCUAUUUCAAGUCCGUGUUUGAUAGCUUAUGUCAGAGAACUAUAUGGAGCAAACGUCAUGGUAAUGAAAAUCUCAGAGGAGAAGGAGACUUUGGAGCAGGACAACUUGGCCUUGAAUCUUGGUUAUAAUACCAGCUAUUUGGCAUAAGUCCCUAGUUUCUACACGUGUAAAAUGUGAGUAAUGAUGAUAAUAGCACCUACCUCACAGGAUGUUUUUAAGAUUAAGUGAGAUAACAGAUGAAAAGCACCCAGCAUAUUACUUGAGCGAAACACACUAAAUCUUGAAGAGCCAGUAGAUAUUGCUGUAAUUCUUUCUAGAUCAGUAAACUUCAUGAAGGAGGUGGGGAUGGUGGUAGAGCAGCCAUCUAUUAUAUUUCCAACCCAACCAGCUGCCUCACCAUUAU
Molecule: long non-coding RNA, 1498 nt
Filed under: Vulpes vulpes (red fox)
Lineage: Eukaryota; Metazoa; Chordata; Mammalia; Carnivora; Canidae
Description: lncRNA (ENSVVUG00000013313.1)
Source: RNAcentral